UAUCUCCGUCUCGCAAGAGACUGCUAUAUAGGUGCUGCAUGGCUGUCGUCAGCUCGUGUCGUGAGAUGUUGGGUUAAGUCCCGCAACGAGCGCAACCCUUAUCGUUAGUUGCCAUCAGGUCAAGCUGGGCACUCUAGCGAAACCGCCUCGGAUAACGGGGAGGAAGGUGGGGAUGACGUCAAGUCCUCAUGGCCUUUAUGUCCAGGGCUACACACGUGCUACAAUGCACGGUACAAACCGUCGCAAACCCGUGAGGGGGAGCUAAUCGGAAAAAGCCGUGCUCAGUUCGGAUUGGAGUCUGCAACCCGACUCCAUGAAGCUGGAAUCGCUAGUAAUCGCAGAUCAGAACGCUGCGGUGAAUACGUUCCCGGGCCUUGUACACACCGCCCGUCACAUCACGAAAGUGGACUGCACUAGAAGCCGGCGUGCCAACUCGCAAGAGGGGUAGCCGUCCAAGGUAUGGUUCAUGAUUGGGGUGAAGUCGUAACAAGGUAGCCGUAA
This 501-nucleotide ribosomal RNA is filed under the name uncultured Acidobacteriota bacterium. RNAcentral describes it as "bacterial SSU rRNA". It matches the Rfam family "Bacterial small subunit ribosomal RNA", at positions 1007 to 1505 of the family's 1533-position model. The record is from RNAcentral. Lineage: Bacteria; Pseudomonadati; Acidobacteriota.